Long non-coding RNA from Alexandromys fortis (reed vole), 1555 nucleotides. RefSeq lists it as uncharacterized. Lineage: Eukaryota; Metazoa; Chordata; Mammalia; Rodentia; Cricetidae. The record is from RefSeq and is a predicted model, not a curated record. The transcript is spliced from 3 exons.
AAUGGUGAAUGGAGGAAGCCCUCUUCCCAUCUCAGGGGGAGCCUCGAAGAAACUGUUCAGGAAGCAGACUUGUCAGUUGUUCAGUUGCUGACCUAGGUGGUGUCCCUUGGGUUUGGGGGCUGCAAAGCCUUGCUGCUGUUGUUGGGAGGCACUUCCUUAGCCAUGGUGGGCACAGGAGUCACCAGGUAAGGCACUCCUUGUCUUUGCAGUGUGUUACCACAUCCAAGUGCCUCAGUAGGUGGAGUGGGGAGUGGAUGCAGAUGCCAGCUGGCCAUGGCUGUCAUUGCAUCCUCAACCAAAGUGAUGCUGAAGGAGGUGCAACUACUGCUUCUGAAAUACACAGGCUACUGCCAACUUAGCUUUGAUGUCUCCUGCCUUCCAAGACCACACCCACUCACAACGGAAAGGGACAGGGCUGCUAUCCAGCUGACGAGCACCCAUGGGAACAUCAUGGUGAGGACUAUGCUCUGCUAAGGGCAAUGGCUGAGGGAGAGCAGAGAGCCAGCCUGUCUCCUUUCAAGGUCAGAUGAUAGGUGACUGGCCAUCUUCCUCUUUCUCAGCCUCUACAGAGGACUUGCAGACCCUGUGGUUCAAGGCUGUGGUGGCAUCAGACAUUGGCUGAUCACAGUGUGAAGUCAGACAGCAUAAUCUGUGCAUGCUGUUCCCUAGGUAACAAUCACAGACUGUGCACAGCCCUGAACACGCUUGCAAACUCGUUGCAGUACCGCCACCAGUGUGCAUCUGGCCCUGCCCCUCUCUCACCAUGAUAUUACACAUUGGGACCUUUAGUGGCCUGUGGCUAUGUCUGCUGCCAGGCCCUGCUCUACUAUGGAGUUACCACACAGACCCUCAGUGGCCUAUGGGAACUUUAUUUUGACACAGGGUUUCACUCUGCAGCCCCACUGUAACUGGCCCUCUUUCAGGUCAGCCUUGAUUCUUGUCUCCCAAACACUGCACUCACUGGCAUGUGUCUACCAUCCUUGACUGUGCCCCAAUUGGAGUACACCACAUGACUCCAGGGGCUGGGGUCCAGAGGGGAAGUACAUUUGCAAUAGAAAUCUAUGUUCAGCAAAACAGGUUAAAAAUCAGUGGAAGCUGCAGCUAGGAAAUAGAACACGUGACAGAUGACUGGAUCUGCCAAAGCAGGAAGGACUGACUGUUUCCUGGUGUUAGCUGGGCAUGUGGCAGCGGGGCAUCAGAAAGAACACUGAGUUAUUCUAAUCAAAGGAGUAGUCUUUAAAGCAACCAAUAUUCUGUUUAUAGAAAGCAGAUCCUAUGCUCUCUUCCAGUUCUGCUCCACACCCGAAGAAGCUCAAGUUGGAGCAGGUGUUGCUGCAUGUCAUUGCUGGAUUCAUCCACAUGUGAGCUGGCCAGGGACACAUGGCCUUUGUGUCAACCCUCCGAUGCUAUGCCAGCUGACCGGCUAAUCCCGUAGUCUCCUUGGCUCUGGGAUGGUUUACCUUCGUGGUCACCUUGGCUGGAUUUAGACUCACCUAGAGGAUAUACUGCUGAACAUGCCUGCGAAAGGCAGACUCAUCGUGAGCCUGGUGGCACC